This 106-nucleotide ribosomal RNA is filed under the name uncultured bacterium. Its description in RNAcentral is "partial 16S ribosomal RNA". It matches the Rfam family "Bacterial small subunit ribosomal RNA", at positions 1379 to 1482 of the family's 1533-position model. The record is from RNAcentral.
CCUUGUACACACCGCCCGUCACGCCAUGGGAGUUGGAUUCACCCGAAGGUGGUGCGCUAACCCGUAAGGGAGGCAGCCAACCACGGUGGGUUCAGCGACUGGGGUG